RNAcentral lists this long non-coding RNA (725 nucleotides) under Chrysolophus pictus (golden pheasant). Its description in RNAcentral is "lncRNA (ENSCPIG00010010561.1)". The record is from RNAcentral. Lineage: Eukaryota; Metazoa; Chordata; Aves; Galliformes; Phasianidae.
UGGGUUGGGAGCUGAAACAAGGAGCCCCUUCAGCACGCCCUGAGCUCUGCGGUGCGCACGGCACGGGGAGGGAAACCCAAGCUGCUGGGGGAAGCAGUGGCUGUGUGCACAGUGCUGGCAUGGGUCCGGAUGCAGCUGAGCACCGUCCCCACAGCCUGCCUGGCGCUGGGGAUGCUGCACAGAGCUGUGAGAGCCCCGCAGCAGAGCUGAGGAUGGAGCACGAUUCUGCCAAUACAUCAGCCAAAACUCUCUGCACCACCUGGAGGCUGCUGCUGCUGCUGCUUGGGAUCAUGGGGCUGCUGGCGGCAGCAGUGGCCGGGGCCUGGCUGCUGGGUCAGUACCUGCAGAACAGCCCCAGCUCUGUGCCCAGCACCCUGCCCAGCCACACGCCUCACCUGCUGCUCUCCUCUCCCAAAGGGUGGCACCUGGGGGGUCCACAGCCACACCAGGGCUUGGCCAAGCCACUGACAUCAGAUACUGUGACAGCAUGCAGUGAGGGCGAGGAGGAGGAGCCCGUGGUCCGCGGGGCACCUGGAGGAGGUUUCCCCCUUCCCACUGCCCCUGCUAAACCUGAGAUACUCCUGGAUAGCAUGCUGAACCUCUCUCCUAGCUCAGCUGCAUGCCGCAAUGGUUUCACUUUGCUUUUGCAUCCCCCUGCAUUCCCCAGCCUCAGUGCACGGCGUGGUCCCACCUUUGCAUGCGCCCUCUCAGCAGAGCUGGGCUGA